RNAcentral lists this long non-coding RNA (3632 nucleotides) under Sus scrofa (pig). RNAcentral describes it as "lncRNA (ENSSSCG00035022963.1)". The record is from RNAcentral. Lineage: Eukaryota; Metazoa; Chordata; Mammalia; Artiodactyla; Suidae.
GGGGGCUCUAGUCAUAGCUCUGCCAGGUUCAAGGGUGUCAGCCCGGCUCACCCUGGCAGGGUCAGACUGUUUGGAGCCAAUGCACACUGGUCCAGGAUAGACGGGCCGCUCAGUCCACCCAGCAAGAGCCUUGCAUUGCCCCCAGCAAGGGCACAGGACUCCCCAAAGCCGGUGAGACCCCAGAGGAAUUCUGCUAAUUCCUACCACAGUUGUUCUGAGCACUGAGGCCUGGAGCUGCACGGCCAUCUCAGGAGCCCGAGGACGGAGGCUGCCUGGGUGCUCUCUCUUGGCUCCCUGCCUCUGGGAUGUAAAAGCCUCAGCCACAAGGGAAGACCACGGGCAGGCCCGCUGGCCCACGGCCCCUGCCAGGUUUCCAGCUAACAGCAAGUGUGCUCUGCCUGCUGUGUGAGCGUGCCACCCAGGCAGGCAACACACAGAACCAGGAGAGGUAACAUCCAUUGUCUGUCGGGCACUAAGCUGCCAGGUUCCGGGGUGGCUGGUUGGGCUGCAGCAGAUAAGCGGAACAGAGGAGGGAGACGAGGAAGGAUAAACAUGACUUUUUUUUUUGGCUGCACCCCAGGUAUGAGGACAUUCCUGGGCCAGGGAUUGAACCCGUGCCACAGCAGGGACCUGGGCCACAGCAGUGACAACACUGGAUCCUUCACCUGCGGCACCACAAGAGAAAUCCAACACUGAGUAGUUGGACUAGAGAAACAGAGAAAGGCAGAGGCAAAAAUGACUUCUCACAGCAAUGGCUGAGACAUGCCAGGCUGGGGCAAUUUGUGCUAUACCCUUGUGUUGUGUGAAGAGUGAUUUUGUUUCAGCAAAAUGGCAUCAACCGUUAUAUUCAACGAGAGCUGUUCAUCUGACUUUGCCUCGUACUUAUGUUUGUAUAUGUUUUCUUUUUGGGGGUGUGUUUUACUAUAGCAUAAGAUCUAUAAUCACAAGGGUUUAUCCUGGGUUUAUGUUUACUGUUUUAUUCUACUUUAUUAUUAUUAUUUUUUGCUGCUUUUAAAAAGCUUAGCGCUCCUUCAAGACUCAAGACAAACACUCCCUUCUCCAUAAAGUAUUUCCUGCUGUCCUUUCCGAACCAAGGGUGAAUUCUCCCUCACUUGACUUCCAAGGUAUAUCACAUCCUGCGCUGUGCUCUGGUCGUUGGUGUGCAUUCUUUUUCCUCCUAUUCCUUUUUGCCUUUUGAAAGAAGGACGUGUAUUUAAUUCAUUCGUAUUCUCCUCAGCCCUUGUCAGAGUAUCUUACAUAUUUUGGAUGUUUAAUAUUUAGUGAAUGAAUCAAUGAAAGAUUUGAGAAUGAAUUACAUACAUUUUGUAUUAUGUAUACAUACAUAUAUUUGGACAAUAACGCUGAAAAGUAGAAAAGUUCUGCAUAAUCGUGUAAUACAUAUUUGCCUGGUGUUUUAAAUAUAUGUUCCCUCUAAAUCAGGAGUGUAGUUCAGGCUGCUCUCCAGCAGCCCAUUAAAUAUCAUCUCUCUUUUUUUUUUAUUCUUUUGGGGGAGGCUGCACCCACGGCAUAUGGAGGUUCCCAGACUAGGGGUCGAAUCGGAGCUGUAGCCACCGGCCUACACCACAGCCACAGCAACAUGGGAUCCGAGCCUCGUCUGCGACCUACACCAUGGCUCAGGGCAAUGCCAGAUCCUUAACCCACUGAGCGAGGCCAGGGACUGAACCUGUGUCCUCAUGGAUCCUAGUCGGAUUCGUUUCCACUGCGCCACGACAGGAACUCCGGAAUAUUUUGGGAUUAAAAACACAUGAUGACCUUGAAAAGAAGGAAAGGAGACAGGAGGUCGUAGCACUGGCUGAGGUAAUGGCAGGAAAGCCCAGGACUAGACAGGGAAGCUGCUGAGGAUACAGCAGGGCUGCCGUCCCGGACGAGCUGGGGGUGGGGGAGACGCGUGCUGCAGAGAUAAAACCCCCACUGCCAGUCACGGAACUUUUGAGGAACAUCGACUAAAGAGAGAAAAAAACAACAACACGACCUUGCACCCCACGAGACAAAAGUGAACACAAAAGGAAGAGGACUUUAGAACGAGUGCAUUUCAUAGGGUCAGUACGUGCCAGGUGGAAAUCACAGCCAAUUAGGCUGUUUUGAAAGAAAAACGUAUGAAAAAGAGGACCAAGUGGAAGUCUUUGAAAUGAAAAAAUACCCCUUUAAAAUGUAAAAGUCAAAAAAAAGUAAAAGGCAGUAGCUAGUUUAAAUAAAAGAUUAGACUAGGCUGAAGCGUAAACCUAGAAGAUUUUUGUCCAAGGGUUCUCUUUGACGACAGCAAAAAUAAGGACAGACACUAGUAUAUGGAAGGUAAGAAUCACAGAGGAAAGAUGCAGAAGUUCCAACAUUCCUAAAAUAGGAAUGCCAGAGGGGAGAAUGGAGAGGUAGGAAUUAAAAAAAUACUCAGGAGUUCCCAUCGUGGCGCAGUGGUUAACAAAUCCGACUAGGAACCAUGAGGUUGCGGGUUCGGUCCCUGCCCUUGCUCAGUGGGUUAACGAUCCGGCAUUGCCAUGAGCUGUGGUGUAGGUUGCAGACGCGGCUCGGAUCUGGUGUUGCUGUGGCUCUGGCGUAGGCUGGCGGCUACAGCUCCGAUUCGACCCCUAGCCUGGGAACCUCCAUAUGCCACGGGAGCGGCCCAAGAAAUGGCAAAAAGACAAAAAAAAAAAUACAAUAAAAUAAAGACUCAGAAUGUCCCAGAACACAGAGCUUCCAUAUCAAACAGUCCUCUGAGUCUUGAGAAGAAUAAAAACAAACAGCUCCACCUAGACCUGGGGUAGUUAAGAAUGAAGAGAAAACCCUAAAGCUAUCAGAGAAAACCAGGCAGAUCACUUACAAAGGAAUGAGAACUAGACAGCUUAUCAGCCGCCUGACCUGCAAGAAGAUAACGGAGACGGAGCAUCAGAGUCCUGAGGAAAUCGUCUUUGAUCUUAGAAUCUGAUGCCGCAACCUCCCACUCAACAGAAGUAAAAUGAAAACAUUUUGGGGGCGUUCCCAUUGGGGCUCAGCAGUAACGAGCCCGACUAGGACUCAGGAGGAUGGGGGUUCGAUCCCUGGCCUUGCUCAGUGGGUUGAGGAUCUGGCAUGGCUGUGGCUGUGGUGUAGGCCGGCCGCUCCAGCUCCAGUUUGACCCCUAGCCUGGGAACUUCCGCAUGUCACGGGUGUGGCCCUAAAAAGACAAAAAAAAAAAAAGACAUUUUUGGAACUGCCAAGGCUAAGGCAGUUUAUGACCUCUAAGCCCUCCCUCAGCGAGCAGAGAACAUUCUCCAAGAAAAAGGAAUCUUGGAAGAGAAUGGGUUGCACGAAACCAAUGUGUCCAAAGAAAUUAGCAAAAGGGACCCUGUGCCCUAGGUACUGACCGUGAACUACUGUGGGGGUUUGAGAAUUACAGCUGUGACCAGAGGCACAGGGUCCAAGAGGAAUCGGCAGUUACCCGGUAGGCUUCUAACCACUUAUUUUGCGGCCAUCUGUCCCCAAUGUCCAGCAUUGCGCUUGAUGCAACUUAUUAAAAUUGCUGGCUGCAAGAGUGAAUUCAUGGACCGAUGACUGGUCCUGUCAGCGUGUGGCCUUUUCCAGAAUAUCGGCCUUUUCCAGAAUAUCAGCAUUUUCACAGAGCGAGAUUCACCGCCCCC